Molecule: long non-coding RNA, 1216 nt
Organism: Apis cerana (Asiatic honeybee)
Lineage: Eukaryota; Metazoa; Arthropoda; Insecta; Hymenoptera; Apidae
Source: RefSeq, a predicted model, not a curated record
UUCGCCUAUCCCGCAUUGCACCUGCCUGUUCACGCUUUAAUUCAUGUCCAAGGUGGAUUAUGGUUGUCGACCGCCUACGAGGAUCCGAUCCUAUAAGCUCCGAGAUGAUUGCCGCGUAUCGGGCUCCGUACACGCGGACCGCAUUAGCAUAACACGAUCUAAUUGAUGCCAGUGGUACCAUGCACCUUCGCCUCUCACCGAACGAACGUUAGACGUGCGCCUCGUGCGUUACGUGCACGUUCGACUCACGGAAAAUCAAAAAAAAAUUGGAAGAUAUGUAUAUAGAUAGUGAGAAGUGUCGAUGCAAGAAGUAAAUAUGUGAGGGGAGAUAUUAAGAAGAUGAGGUGAUUGGUUAAAAAUUAGUAAUUAUAGUUAAAAAUAGUAAUGGAAGAAAUUGAUGUAAAGAAUGAACGCAAAAUAUUUUUUUGACGAGAUGAUCGUGACACACAAGAGAGCUAAUAAAUCAGUCUAAUUAAUGAUCGCGGUCAUUGCACCAUUCGAGCAUCGGCCGAUCCAAAAAAAAACUGGAUCUAUAAUUCUAGCAAACAGCAUACAGUAUGGAUAUUUAUUACACAUUCGUUCGAUUCUUCCAUCGAGAGUCGAGAAUGUCGCUCAACGAAAACGAUGCCGCGAUGACGAAGUUGAGGAAAGAAGGAAAAAAAGAAAAGAUUUAGUUGGAGAUCGAAUGAAAGAAAGAUGUACGGGAUCUCUCGAUUCGACGUGAGGAUCAGUGUUUAUCAAAAAGAUAAUGAAUCAUUUUUCUUUGGGGAGGGAAAUGAAAGGAGCGGUGAAAGCAAGACGAUGCGUAUCCAUCCAGCCUAACUAUAAAUACACGUUAAUACCCCGGUUGCGGACAGUGAAAAUGAUUUUCAGCAUCCGCCUGUUGCGGAACGAGCGUUGCAUGUGUAGUUUUUUUUCUCUUGCAGUGUCUCGAGUUAUAGAAAUUAUGGAGAGAUAGAUCGUAGAUCUAGGCGUGACGUGUAUCGUUUUUGUCGCCGCAACGAGGACGCGCGGAAAGAAAUCGUGAAAUCCGUGUUUUCAUGGAGAAAUGUGGUGUUCGUAAUUGAAUUUUAUUCGAAAUUAAUAUUUCUAUUUCGUAUUUUUGAAUAUCCACAUACCAUAUAUUUACGUAUAUUUAAUAAUUCACGCGAAAUAAGCGAAACUGAUCGAUCAACUUCGUUCGACUUUUGUAAAAUUAAAUUCUAAUUUCUAGGAU